ACAAAAUACAAAUACAAAACUAAAUACAAAUGAAAUUAAUCUUAAGUAUUGAAUUGCAUUAACACAUUUUAAGACAUUUGCGGUUUUGUCCUUCUCUUAAAAUUCAUGCAUAUUAAGAAGUUUGAUAUAUUAGUUUUCCUUCUGAGUUUUCAUUCGACUUACGUAUAUGAGGAGCUAUCAAUAGCUGAAAGGGAAUGAAG
This 200-nucleotide long non-coding RNA is filed under the name Lathyrus oleraceus (garden pea). RNAcentral describes it as "Pisum sativum (pea) long non-coding RNA (PSAT_LNC018891)". The record is from RNAcentral. Lineage: Eukaryota; Viridiplantae; Streptophyta; Magnoliopsida; Fabales; Fabaceae.